This 383-nucleotide ribosomal RNA is filed under the name uncultured eukaryote. Its description in RNAcentral is "partial 18S ribosomal RNA". It matches the Rfam family "Eukaryotic small subunit ribosomal RNA", at positions 592 to 976 of the family's 1831-position model. The record is from RNAcentral.
CAAUAGCGUAUAUUAAAGUUGUUGCAGUUAAAAAGCUCGUAGUUGGAUUUCUGGUGGGAGCGAUCGGUCUGGCGCUUAGCGCGAGUACUUGCAUCGUCUCCGGCCAUCCUUGGGGAGAGUCUGUCUGGCAUUAGGUUGUCGGGCAGAGGAUCCUCAUCGUUUACUGUGGAAAAAUUAGAGUGUUCAAAGCAGGCUUAUGCCGUUGAAUAUAUUAGCAUGGAAUAAUAAGAUAGGACUUUGGUACUAUUUUGUUGGUUUGCGCACCAAAGUAAUGAUUAAUAGGGACAGUUGGGGGUAUUCGUAUUCCGUUGUCAGAGGUGAAAUUCUUGGAUUUACGGAAGACGAACUACUGCGAAAGCAUUUACCAAGGAUGUUUUCAUUAA